This is a non-coding RNA of Danio rerio (zebrafish), 544 nucleotides long. The record is from RefSeq and is a predicted model, not a curated record. NCBI's taxonomy places the organism in Eukaryota, Metazoa, Chordata, Actinopteri, Cypriniformes, Danionidae.
GCUGUCACCAGUUGGCACUAACAAAAGGACCCUAGAAAACAGGAUUGUUUGUUUCUGGAGGGACUGGCUUCUAGAUGUGGAAGAGGGAGCAUCGUCACCACUUUCUUUAAGCCAGGUUUUGGCAUUUGCUUCAGGUUCAACCUCCAUUCAGAGGCUGGGUUUCCCUGUUGAACCAGCACUUGAGUUCCUGCAUCAACAGGAUAAUGAGCAUGCCAAAAUUUACCCUGAAGCAAAUACAUGUACUAUUGUUUUGAGGCUGCCAAUGCAUCGAAUGUUUGAGGACUUUGAAAUUUACAUGAAAGAGGGCAUUUUGCGGGCCCCCACAUUUGGGGUAAUGUAGUUCAGUUAAUGGCAACCCCAUUGUAUAUUGUUCUUUUUUUGUGUCCAGUGUUCUUUGCAACCCUAUUUUAUAUUGUUCUUUUUAGUUUCUAGAGUUCUUUGCAACCCCAUUGUAUAUUGUUCUUUUUAGUUUCUAGUGUUCUUUGUCAUGUAAAAACAUUUUUUGUGUAGUAAUUGUGGUAAAUAAAAUACUUUGUUCAUAGCA